Molecule: ribosomal RNA, 314 nt
Filed under: Corynebacterium diphtheriae
Lineage: Bacteria; Bacillati; Actinomycetota; Actinomycetes; Mycobacteriales; Corynebacteriaceae
Description: bacterial LSU rRNA
Rfam family: Bacterial large subunit ribosomal RNA (bases 1-218)
Source: RNAcentral
ACCGUGUCUGGUGGGUAGUUUGACUGGGGCGGUCUCCUCCUAAAGAGUAACGGAGGAGCACGAAGGUUGGCUAAGCAUGGUCGGACAUCAUGCGGUUAGUGCAAAGGCAUAAGCCAGCUUGACUGCGAGAGUGACGGCUCGAGCAGGUACGAAAGUAGGUCUUAGUGAUCCGGUGGUUCGUGAAUGGAAGGGCCAUCGCUCAACGGAUAAAAGGUACCGUGUCUGGUGGGUAGUUUGACUGGGGCGGUCUCCUCCUAAAGAGUAACGGAGGAGCACGAAGGUUGGCUAAGCAUGGUCGGACAUCAUGCGGUUAG